UACGGAGGGUGCAAGCGUUAUCCGGAUUCACUGGGUUUAAAGGGUGUGUAGGCGGGCUGUUAAGUCAGUGGUGAAAUCUCCGGGCUCAACCCGGAAACUGCCAUUGAUACUAUCAGUCUUGAAUAUCGUUGAGGUGGGCAGAAUAUGUCAUGUAGCGGUGAAAUGCAUAGAUAUGACAUAGAAUACCGAUUGCGAAGGCAGCUCACUAACCGAUCAUUGACGCUGAGGCACGAAAGCGUGGGGAUCAAACAGG
This 253-nucleotide ribosomal RNA is filed under the name uncultured bacterium. RNAcentral describes it as "partial 16S ribosomal RNA". It matches the Rfam family "Bacterial small subunit ribosomal RNA", at positions 524 to 776 of the family's 1533-position model. The record is from RNAcentral.